This is a long non-coding RNA of Humulus lupulus (European hop), 831 nucleotides long. RefSeq lists it as uncharacterized. The transcript has 9 exons. The record is from RefSeq and is a predicted model, not a curated record. Lineage: Eukaryota; Viridiplantae; Streptophyta; Magnoliopsida; Rosales; Cannabaceae.
AGGUAAAAAUAGCAUAAUUGGAAUCACAAUGUGGUGGUGAAUAUAGGAGUCUAGGAUUACAGCAAGAGAAUAAGAAGGUGCUUGAGACUUCAGUAAAUCCAGCAUCUGAGAAGCUGCCAGCUGAGCAAGACAAUGUACCAGAGAGGUAUACCCCUUAUAUCAGAUGCACGAAACUAGAAUUCAAGGUUGACACAUUUUUUGCUGUUGGGUCACCUCUGGGAGUCUUCCUUGCUCUUCGUAAUGUUCGAAAAUGGAUUGGCAAAGGUUAAGAAUAUUGGACGGAGGAGAAUAUUAAUGAAGAAAUGCCUGCCUGUCGGCAAAUGUUUAACAUUUCCACCCUUUUGACCCUGUGGCUUAUAGAAUAGAACCACUUGUGUGUAAAGAAUAUGUUAGCAAACGACCUGUUAUUGUGCCCUACCACAAAGGUGGAAGGAGGUUGUAUAUUGGAUUUCAGGAAUUUUCUGAACAUAUAGCUGCUCGGACACAAGCUCUUAUGGAUCAUCUCUACGAUAUAAGGGUUAAAGUUUUGACUGUUUGCCAAUCGCAAAAUGCUGAUAGAAUAGAAGAUGACACUGAAAGUUCAGACGAAAAAGAGCCAUCUUAUGGUUCUCUUAUGAUGAAGAUACUGACAGGAAGUGUGGAAGAGCGGAUUGAUUAUGUGCUUCAGUUUGCAAACAGCCAUGAAGAGCUACGACAGUGUAUCCAAAUUGGCGAAGAACUCCUCCCAAUUUAACAUAGUGCUGCCAUGGAUAUCUGUGACAGUGUCUUGAGUGCCUUGGCUCCCAACUUGCAUGUAAAGCCUGUUCAAAUAAAUAUAUAUAUAAUUAUUUU